Molecule: ribosomal RNA, 407 nt
Filed under: uncultured Actinoplanes sp.
Lineage: Bacteria; Bacillati; Actinomycetota; Actinomycetes; Micromonosporales; Micromonosporaceae
Description: bacterial SSU rRNA
Rfam family: Bacterial small subunit ribosomal RNA
Source: RNAcentral
AGUGGGGAAUAUUGCACAAUGGGCGGAAGCCUGAUGCAGCGACGCCGCGUGAGGGAUGACGGCCUUCGGGUUGUAAACCUCUUUCAGCAGGGACGAAGCGCAAGUGACGGUACCUGCAGAAGAAGCGCCGGCCAACUACGUGCCAGCAGCCGCGGUAAGACGUAGGGCGCGAGCGUUGUCCGGAUUUAUUGGGCGUAAAGAGCUCGUAGGCGGCUUGUCGCGUCGAAUGUGAAAUCUCGGGGCUCAACUCCGAGCUUGCAUUCGAUACGGGCAGGCUAGAGUUCGGUAGGGGAGACUGGAAUUCCUGGUGUAGCGGUGAAAUGCGCAGAUAUCAGGAGGAACACCGGUGGCGAAGGCGGGUCUCUGGGCCGAUACUGACGCUGAGGAGCGAAAGCGUGGGGAGCGAA